This 336-nucleotide ribosomal RNA is filed under the name uncultured bacterium. RNAcentral describes it as "partial 16S ribosomal RNA". It matches the Rfam family "Bacterial small subunit ribosomal RNA", at positions 338 to 691 of the family's 1533-position model. The record is from RNAcentral.
CCUACGGGAGGCUGCAGUAAGGGAUAUUGGUCAAUGGGGGAAACCCUGAACCAGCAACGCCGCGUGAGGGAAGACGGUUUUCGGAUUGUAAACCUCUGUCCUCGGGGAAGAGGAUGACGGUAGCAGAGGAGGAAGCUCCGGCUAACGACGUGCCAGCAGCCGCGGUAAUACGUAGGGAGCGAGCGUGGUCCGGAUUUACUGGGUGUAAAGGGUGCGUAGGCGGCUUGGCAAGUCAGUAGUGAAAUCCCUGGGCUUAACCCAUGAACUGCUAUUGAAACUGUCGAGCUGGAGUGCAGUAGAGGUAGGCGGAAUUCCCGGUGUCGCGGUGCACUGCGU